UCCUGGGGCUGAAGUCGGUCCCAAGGGUAUGGCUGUUCGCCAUUUAAAGUGGUACGCGAGCUGGGUUUAGAACGUCGUGAGACAGUUCGGUCCCUAUCUGCCGUGGGCGUUGGAAGAUUGAAGGGGGCUGCUCCUAGUACGAGAGGACCGGAGUGGACGAACCUCUGGUGUUCGGGUUGUGUCGCCAGACGCAUUGCCCGGUAGCUAAGUUCGGAAUUGAUAAGCGCUGAAAGCAUCUAAGCGCGAAGCGAGCCCUGAGAUGAGUCUUCCCUGACAGUUUAACUGUCCUAAAGGGUUGUUCGAGAC
Molecule: ribosomal RNA, 306 nt
Filed under: Vibrio cholerae
Lineage: Bacteria; Pseudomonadati; Pseudomonadota; Gammaproteobacteria; Vibrionales; Vibrionaceae
Description: partial 23S ribosomal RNA
Rfam family: Bacterial large subunit ribosomal RNA
Source: RNAcentral